GUUUAAUCUUCCCCUCCCAAUGUUGUGGGUUUCUGGUCAUGUCAUGCUGUGGCCAUGUAAACAGAGCUGGCAUGGAGAAUAGGAGCUGAACUGAAUGUGCCAAGGAUUAAAUACAAUAGGGCCAGUUGUACUUUGUAAUGAUAACCUUCAUUUAAACAUAAAAUAUACUGUUGCAUUGAAAGAAAAAGCAUUUGUAAGUAAUAUAAAGACAAAUCAUGAGUUUAUUGAGGGUUGAACAAAGAAGACAUCUCUGCCGCAGAAUCAUUUAACAGGAACUCAAUACACCUCCAGCAAAUGUUGAAACAGCAAUUUAGAUGAGAAGUUCAAGUUGGCAGGCUAAAAUAAACA
Molecule: long non-coding RNA, 348 nt
Organism: Hyla sarda
Lineage: Eukaryota; Metazoa; Chordata; Amphibia; Anura; Hylidae
Exons: 3
Source: RefSeq, a predicted model, not a curated record